RNAcentral lists this ribosomal RNA (136 nucleotides) under Salmonella enterica subsp. enterica serovar Infantis. Its description in RNAcentral is "partial 23S ribosomal RNA". Lineage: Bacteria; Pseudomonadati; Pseudomonadota; Gammaproteobacteria; Enterobacterales; Enterobacteriaceae. The record is from RNAcentral.
GGGUUGUGAGGUUAAGCGACUAAGCGUACACGGUGGAUGCCCUGGCAGUCAGAGGCGAUGAAGGRCGUGCUAAUCUGCGAUAAGCGCCGGUAAGGUGAUAUGAACCGUUAUAACCGGCGAUWYCCGAAUGGGGAAA